UCAUUUUCCAGAAUUUUUGUGUUUUUUAGGAAUCCUGAACCCGUUUUUCCAGGUUUUCUGUGUCUCCCAAUCCCAUUUCCAGCUCUUGAAUCCUGAAUCCGUUUUUCCAGGUUUUCUGUGUCUCCCAAUCCCAUUUUCCAGGUUUUUUGUGUCUCCCAAUCCCAUUUUCCGGGUUUUUUGUGUCUCCCAAUCCCAUUUUCCAGGUUUUUUGUGUCUCCCAAUCUCAUUUCCCAGGAUUUUUGUGUCUCCCAAUCCCAUUUUCCGGGUUUUUCGUGUCUCCCAAUCCCAUUUCCCGGGUUUUCCAUUGCCCUCAAUCCAGUUUUCCGGGUUUUUUGUGUCUCCCAAUCCCUUCUUUCCAGGUUUUUUUUAUUCUUUAUUCCACAUCUUUGGUAUUUUGGGGAAUUUCCUGCCUAUCCCAAGGAAUUUUUCCGUCUUUUCCGUGUUUUCCCAGCUCUCCUGGCGGGGCUGGCGGGCGGAGCCCAGCAGGUCCCGGCCGUGUCUCCUCCCUUUCCCUUGGUGUCCCCAAUCCCAAUUUCCCUGGAAUUUUGUGUCCCCAAAUCCCAUUUUCCAGGUUUUUUAUGUCCCCAAAUCCCAUUUUCCAGGUUUUUCGUGUCUCCAAAUCCCAUUUUCCAGGUUUUUUGUGUCUCCAAAUCCCAUUUUCCGGGUUUUUUGUGUCUCCCAAUCCUCAUUUUCCAGGAUUUUUGUGUUUUUUAGGAAUCCUGAUCCCGUUUUUCCAGGUUUUCUGUGUCUCCCAAUCCCAUUUCCAGCUCUUGAAUCCUGAAUCCAUUUUUCCAGGUUUUCUGUGUCUCCAAAUCCCAUUUUCCAGGUUUUUUAUGUCCCCCAAUCCCAUUUUCCAGGUUUUUCAUGUUUCCCAAUCCCAUUUUCCAGGUUUUUCAUGUUUCCACAUCCCAUUUUCCAGGUUUUUUGUGUCUCCCAAUCCCAUUUUCCGGGUUUUCCAUUGCUCACAAUCCAGUUUUCCGGGUUUUUUGUGUCCCUAAAUCCCAUUUUCCAGGAUUUUUGUGUCUCCCAAUCCCAUUUCCCAGGAUUUUUGUGUCUCCCAAUCCUCAUUCUCCAGGAUUUUUGUGUUUUUUAGGAAUCCUGAACCCGUUUUUCCAGGUUUUCUGUGUCUCCCAAUCCCAUUUCCAGCCCUUGAAUCCUGAAUCCAUUUUUCCAGGUUUUCUGUGUCUCCAAAUCCCAUUUUCCAGGUUUUUCAUGUUUCCCAAUCCCAUUUUCCACGUUUUUUGUGUCCCCCAAUCCCAUUUUCCGGGUUUUUUGUGUCUCCCAAUCCCAUUUUCCAGGUUUUUUGUGUCUCCCAAUCCCAUUUUCCAGGUUUUCCAUUGCCCUCAAUCCAGUUUUCCGGGUUUUUUGUGUCUCCCAAUCCCUUCUUUCCAGGUUUUUUUUUACUCCCCACUCCCCAUCCCUGGGAUUUUUGGGAUUUUCCUGCUUAUCCCAAGGAAUUUUUCCGUGUUUUCCGGGUUUUUUGUGUCUCCCAAUCCCAUUUUCCGGGUUUUUUAUGUCUCCCAAUCCCAUUUUCCGGGUUUUUUGUGUCUCCCAAUCCCAUUUCCCGGGUUUUCCAUUGCCCACAAUCCAGUUUUCCGGGUUUUUUGUGUCUCCCAAUCCCUUUUCUCCACGUUUUUUUUUACUUCCCCCUGUACAUCUUUGGAAUUUUUGGGAUUUUCCUGCGGAUCCCAAGGAAUUUUUCCGUGUUUUCCGUGUUUUCCCAGCUCUCCUGGCGGGGCUGGCGGGCGGAGCCCAGCAGGUCCCGGCCGUCUCCUCCCUUUCCCUUGGCGUCCCCAAUCCCAAUUUCCCUGGAAUUUUGUGUCCCCAAAUUCCAUUUUCCAGGUUUUCUGUGUCCCCCAAUCCCAUUUUCCCAGGAUUUUUGCAUUUCCACAUCCCAUUUUCCAGGUUUUUUGUGUCUCCCAAUCCCAUUUUCCGGGUUUUCCAUUGCCCUCAAUCCAGUUUUCCGGGUUUUUUGUGUCUCCCAAUCCCUUUCCUCCACGUUUUUUUUUACUUCCCCCUGUACAUCUUUGGAAUUUUUGGGAUUUUCCUGCCCAUCCCAAGGAAUUUUUCCGUGUUUUCCGUGUUUUCCCAGCUCUCCUGGCGGGGCUGGCGGGCGGAGCCCAGCAGGUCCCGGCCGUCUCCUCCCUUUCCCUUGGCGUCCCCAAUCCCAAUUUCCCUGGAAUUUUGUGUCCCCAAAUUCCAUUUUCCAGGUUUUCUGUGUCCCCCAAUCCCAUUUUCCCAGGAUUUUUGCAUUUCCACAUCCCAUUUUCCGGGUUUUUUGUGUCUCCCAAUCCCAUUUUCUGGGUUUUUUGUGUCUCCCAAUCCCAUUUUCCAGGUUUUUUGUGUCUCCCAAUCCCAUUUUCCGGGUUUUCCAUUGCCCUCAAUCCAGUUUUCCGGGUUUUUUUGUGUCUCCCAAUCCCUUUUCUCCACGUUUUUUUUUACUUCCC
This 2447-nucleotide long non-coding RNA is filed under the name Cyanistes caeruleus (blue tit). Its description in RNAcentral is "lncRNA (ENSCCEG00000018871.1)". The record is from RNAcentral. Lineage: Eukaryota; Metazoa; Chordata; Aves; Passeriformes; Paridae.